RNAcentral lists this long non-coding RNA (410 nucleotides) under Helianthus annuus (common sunflower). RNAcentral describes it as "hypothetical non coding rna". The record is from RNAcentral. Lineage: Eukaryota; Viridiplantae; Streptophyta; Magnoliopsida; Asterales; Asteraceae.
UCACUACUAGUAUACAAGCAUCGAUCAUCAGGUUUUGGAGCAAUACACUGGUCAAUAAUCCCUUGUCUUCUCCAAGGGCAGAUGGAGAUUGAAAGUUGAACUUGGUUAUCAAGGAGCUUGUUAAGGAAAAAGAUGAAGAAAAAGAAAGCUUAAAUGGAAUUGUGAGGUCGUUGGCUAAAAAGAAAAGGAUAAGGUGGAUAAAGAUGUUAUGCUCAAUAGUCAAUAGGAUGUCAUAAAUUGAAGCUAUGAUAACAGCUAUGCUUCGAAGAUCGGCUGUAAACUAAGUUUUGAAUGUUUCAAUAUUAGGAUAAUUUUGGUAUAUAAUGAUUUAGUUUGUAUUUUUAUUAGAAUGUUUAUAUUUUGAAACAGGAAAAACUGAAAUACAUAUGUUUUAUAUAAUAUUGGGAUUU